Chrysemys picta bellii (western painted turtle) is the source of this 128-nucleotide small nucleolar RNA. Ensembl annotates it as small nucleolar RNA, C/D box 10. Its record names the gene SNORD10. NCBI's taxonomy places the organism in Eukaryota, Metazoa, Chordata, Testudines, Emydidae. The record is from Ensembl.
GUUCGCUGAUGAUUCCCCAUGCGUGUCAGCUGAUCCCAGUGCCGCCUGGUGCCCCCUGCUAGGCGUUCUGCCAUCCGGGCCUGGCACAGGGGCUUCUGGGUGUGAUCAGAGCUCUCCCGACUGAGAAC